RNAcentral lists this ribosomal RNA (441 nucleotides) under Clostridioides difficile. Its description in RNAcentral is "bacterial SSU rRNA". It matches the Rfam family "Bacterial small subunit ribosomal RNA", at positions 338 to 795 of the family's 1533-position model. The record is from RNAcentral. Lineage: Bacteria; Bacillati; Bacillota; Clostridia; Peptostreptococcales; Peptostreptococcaceae.
CCUACGGGGGGCUGCAGUCGGGAAUAUUGCGCAAUGGAGGAAACUCUGACGCAGUGACGCCGCGUGCAGGAAGAAGGUUUUCGGAUUGUAAACUGCUUUAGACAGGGAAGAAACAAGACAGUACCUGUAGAAUAAGCUCCGGCUAACUACGUGCCAGCAGCCGCGGUAAUACGUAGGGAGCAAGCGUUAUCCGGAUUUAUUGGGUGUAAAGGGUGCGUAGACGGGAAUGCAAGUUGGUUGUGAAAUCCCUCGGCUCAACCGAGGAAUUGCAACCAAAACUAUAUUUCUUGAGUGCUGGAGAGGAAAGUGGAAUUCCUAGUGUAGCGGUGAAAUGCGUAGAUAUUAGGAGGAACACCAGUGGCGAAGGCGACUUUCUGGACAGUAACUGACGUUGAGGCACGAAAGUGUGGGGAGCAAACAGGAUUAGAUACCCCUGUAGUC